CAGCCGCCGCGGUAAUACGUAGGUCCCGAGCGUUGUCCGGAUUUAUUGGGCGUAAAGCGAGCGCAGGCGGUUAGAUAAGUCUGAAGUUAAAGGCUGUGGCUUAACCAUAGUACGCUUUGGAAACUGUUUAACUUGAGUGCAAGAGGGGAGAGUGGAAUUCCAUGUGUAGCGGUGAAAUGCGUAGAUAUAUGGAUGAACACCGGUGGCGAAAGCGGCUCUCUGGCUUGUAACUGACGCUGAGGCUCGAAAGCGUGGGGAGCAAACAGGAUUAGAUACCCCAGUAGUCCCUGUCUCUUAUACA
Molecule: ribosomal RNA, 301 nt
Filed under: uncultured bacterium
Lineage: Bacteria
Description: partial 16S ribosomal RNA
Rfam family: Bacterial small subunit ribosomal RNA
Source: RNAcentral